GAUGAACGCUGGCGGCGUGCCUAAUACAUGCAAGUCGAGCGAACAGACGAGGAGCUUGCUCCUCUGACGUUAGCGGCGGACGGGUGAGUAACACGUGGAUAACCUACCUAUAAGACUGGGAUAACUUCGGGAAACCGGAGCUAAUACCGGAUAAUAUAUUGAACCGCAUGGUUCAAUAGUGAAAGACGGUUUUGCUGUCACUUAUAGAUGGAUCCGCGCCGCAUUAGCUAGUUGGUAAGGUAACGGCUUACCAAGGCAACGAUGCGUAGCCGACCUGAGAGGGUGAACGGCCACACUGGAACUGAAACACGGUCCAGACGCCUAAGGGAGGCAGCAGUAGGGAAUCUUCCGCAAAGGGCGAAAGCCUGACGGAGCAACGCCGCGUGAGUGAUGAAGGUCUUCGGAUCGUAAAACUCUGUUAUUAGGGAAGAACAAAUGUGUAAGUAACUAUGCACGUCUUGACGGUACCUAAUCAGAAAGCCACGGCUAACUACGUG
This 497-nucleotide ribosomal RNA is filed under the name uncultured bacterium. RNAcentral's name for it is "partial 16S ribosomal RNA". It matches the Rfam family "Bacterial small subunit ribosomal RNA", at positions 28 to 507 of the family's 1533-position model. The record is from RNAcentral.